CCUACGGGUGGCAGCAGUGAGGAAUAUUGCACAAUGGAGGAAACCCUGAUUCAGCGACGCCGCGUGAGUGAAGAAGUAUUUAUGUACGUAAAGCUCUAUCAACAGGGAAGAAAAUGACGGUACCUGACGAAGAAGCCCCGGCUAACUACGUGCCAGCAGCCGCGGUAAUCCGUCGGGUGCAAGCGUUAUCCGGAUUUACUGGGUUGAAAGGGAGCGUAGACGGCAGCGCAAGUCUGAAGUGAAAUCCCAUGGCUUAACCAUGAAACUGCAUUGGAAACUGUGCAGCUUGAGUGCAGGAGAGGUAAGCGGAAUUCCUAGUGUAGCGGUGAAAUGCGUAGAUAUUAGGAGGAACACCAGUGGCGAAGGCGGCUUACUGGACUGUAACUGACGUUGAGGCUCGAAAGCGUGGGGAGCAAACAGGAUUAGAUACCCGGGUAGUC
This 440-nucleotide ribosomal RNA is filed under the name uncultured bacterium. RNAcentral describes it as "partial 16S ribosomal RNA". It matches the Rfam family "Bacterial small subunit ribosomal RNA", at positions 338 to 795 of the family's 1533-position model. The record is from RNAcentral.